Drosophila miranda is the source of this 316-nucleotide long non-coding RNA. RefSeq lists it as uncharacterized. Lineage: Eukaryota; Metazoa; Arthropoda; Insecta; Diptera; Drosophilidae. The transcript has 2 exons. The record is from RefSeq and is a predicted model, not a curated record.
GAACGAUGGAGAACGUAUUAUUAAAAUAUUUUUUGAUGAUAUUAAAAAUUGUCAGCACAUUAUUUCACACACUUUUUGUACGAUUCAUGAACACUUGGCGCGGGGAAGAGAACGCACAGGCCGGCCGAAGAGAAAUUUUUGUAAAAAUAUUGUUGCUUUUUGCUGGAACGAAGAGAGGAGACGCACGCACGCGACGAACGAACGGGGGAGAAGGAACGGAACGGAACGAAGGAAGAAUAGCGACGUACGACAGAAAACAAAACGCAGAACAACAAAAUUGUGCUUUUUUCAGGCAACAACGCGAAUUCGGCGCGCU